RNAcentral lists this ribosomal RNA (450 nucleotides) under uncultured bacterium. Its description in RNAcentral is "bacterial SSU rRNA". It matches the Rfam family "Bacterial small subunit ribosomal RNA", at positions 355 to 796 of the family's 1533-position model. The record is from RNAcentral.
UCGAGGAUCUUCCGCAAUGGGCGAAAGCCUGACGGAGCGACGCCGCGUGUGGGAUGAAGGCCUUCGGGUUGUAAACCACUGUCACUCGUUAUGAAAGGGCCCGGUGUUAACAGCAUCGGGAACUGACAAAGGCGAGAGAGGAAGCCACGGCUAACUUCGUGCCAGCAGCCGCGGUAAGACGAAGGUGGCGAGCGUUGUUCGGAAUCACUGGGCAUAAAGCGCACGUAGGCGGCGAUGUAAGUCGGGUGUGAAAUCCCUCGGCCCAACCGAGGAACUGCGCCCGAAACUGCAUUGCUUGAGGAUCAAAGGGGUGCUCGGAAUUUCCGGUGGAGCGGUGAAAUGCGUUGAUAUCGGAAGGAACGUCGGCGGCGAAAGCGGAGCACUGGUUGAUUUCUGACGCUGAGGUGCGAAAGCCAGGGGAGCAAACGGGAUUAGAUACCCCCGUAGUCC